UACCAGCACCCCGAGUGGUCGGGACGAUUAUUGGGCCUAAAGCAUCCGUAGCCGGCCUUACAAGUCCUCCGUUAAAUCCAGCUGCUUAACAGAUGGGCUGCGGAGGAUACUAUAAGACUAGGAGGCAGGAGAGGCAAGCGGUACUCAGUGGGUAGGGGUAAAAUCCGUUGAUCCAUUGAAGACCACCAGUGGCGAAGGCGGCUUGCCAGAAUGCGCUCGACGGUGAGGGAUGAAAGCUGGGGGAGCAAACCGA
RNAcentral lists this ribosomal RNA (253 nucleotides) under uncultured bacterium. Its description in RNAcentral is "partial 16S ribosomal RNA". It matches the Rfam family "Archaeal small subunit ribosomal RNA", at positions 474 to 727 of the family's 1478-position model. The record is from RNAcentral.